UACGUAGGGUGCAAGCGUUGUCCGGAAUUAUUGGGCGUAAAGAGCUCGUAGGCGGUCUGUCGCGUCUGCUGUGAAAACUCAGGGCUUAACCCUGAGCUUGCAGUGGGUACGGGCAGACUAGAGUGCGGUAGGGGAGAUUGGAAUUCCUGGUGUAGCGGUGGAAUGCGCAGAUAUCAGGAGGAACACCAAUGGCGAAGGCAGCUCGCUGGGACGGUACUGACACUGAGACGCGAAAGCGUGGGGAGCGAACCGG
Molecule: ribosomal RNA, 253 nt
Filed under: uncultured bacterium
Lineage: Bacteria
Description: partial 16S ribosomal RNA
Rfam family: Bacterial small subunit ribosomal RNA
Source: RNAcentral